AGAGUUUGAUCCUGGCUCAGAGCGAACGCUGGCGGCAGGCUUAACACAUGCAAGUCGAGCGGGUGUAGCAAUACAUCAGCGGCAGACGGGUGAGUAACGCGUGGGAACGUACCUUUUGGUUCGGAACAACCCAGGGAAACUUGGGCUAAUACCGGAUAAGCCCUUACGGGGAAAGAUUUAUCGCCGAAAGAUCGGCCCGCGUCUGAUUAGCUAGUUGGUGAGGUAAUGGCUCACCAAGGCGACGAUCAGUAGCUGGUCUGAGAGGAUGAUCAGCCACAUUGGGACUGAGACACGGCCCAAACUCCUACGGGAGGCAGCAGUGGGAAUAUUGGACAAUGGGGGCAACCCUGAUCCAGCCAUGCCGCGUGAGUGAUGAAGGCCCUAGGGUUGUAAAGCUCUUUUGUGCGGGAAGAUAAUGACGGUACCGCAAGAAUAAGCCCCGGCUAACUUCCUGCCAACAGCCGCGGUAAUACGAAGGGGGCUAGCGUUGCUCGGAAUCACUGGGCGUAAAGGGUGCGUAGGCGGGUUUUUAAGUCAGGGGUGAAAUCCUGGAGCUCAACUCCAGAACUAACUUUGAUACUUAAGAUCUUGAGU
RNAcentral lists this ribosomal RNA (594 nucleotides) under uncultured bacterium. Its description in RNAcentral is "bacterial SSU rRNA". It matches the Rfam family "Bacterial small subunit ribosomal RNA", at positions 8 to 647 of the family's 1533-position model. The record is from RNAcentral.